RNAcentral lists this ribosomal RNA (513 nucleotides) under uncultured Duganella sp. RNAcentral describes it as "bacterial SSU rRNA". It matches the Rfam family "Bacterial small subunit ribosomal RNA", at positions 337 to 842 of the family's 1533-position model. Lineage: Bacteria; Pseudomonadati; Pseudomonadota; Betaproteobacteria; Burkholderiales; Oxalobacteraceae. The record is from RNAcentral.
UCCUACGGGAGGCNAGCAGUGGGGAAUUUUGGACAAUGGGGGCAACCCUGAUCCAGCAAUGCCGCGUGAGUGAAGAAGGCCUUCGGGUUGUAAAGCUCUUUUGUCAGGGAAGAAACGGUGUGAGCUAAUAUCUCAUGCUAAUGACGGUACCUGAAGAAUAAGCACCGGCUAACUACGUGCCAGCAGCCGCGGUAAUACGUAGGGUGCAAGCGUUAAUCGGAAUUACUGGGCGUAAAGCGUGCGCAGGCGGUUUUGUAAGACUGUCGUGAAAUCCCCGGGCUCAACCUGGGAAUGGCGAUGGUGACUGCAAGGCUAGAGUUUGGCAGAGGGGGGUAGAAUUCCACGUGUAGCAGUGAAAUGCGUAGAUAUGUGGAGGAACACCGAUGGCGAAGGCAGCCCCCUGGGUCAAAACUGACGCUCAUGCACGAAAGCGUGGGGAGCAAACAGGAUUAGAUACCCUGGUAGUCCACGCCCUAAACGAUGUCUACUAGUUGUAGGGUUUUAAUUGACUUG